RNAcentral lists this ribosomal RNA (253 nucleotides) under uncultured bacterium. RNAcentral's name for it is "partial 16S ribosomal RNA". It matches the Rfam family "Bacterial small subunit ribosomal RNA", at positions 524 to 776 of the family's 1533-position model. The record is from RNAcentral.
AACGUAGGGGACAAGCGUUAUCCGGAUUUACUGGGCGUAAAGCGCCCGUAGGCGGCCUGACAAGUUGGACGUGAAAGCUCCUGGCUUAACUGGGAGAGGCCGUUCAAAACUGUCAAGCUAGAGUCUGGGAGAGGAGAGCGGAAUUCCCGGUGUAGUGGUGGAAUGCGUAGAGAUCGGGAGGAACACCAGUGGCGAAAGCGGCUCUCUGGUCCAAAACUGACGCUGAGGGGCGAAAGCGUGGGGAGCGAACGGG